This 229-nucleotide long non-coding RNA is filed under the name Nicotiana benthamiana. RNAcentral describes it as "long non-coding RNA (NBEN_LNC000874)". The record is from RNAcentral. Lineage: Eukaryota; Viridiplantae; Streptophyta; Magnoliopsida; Solanales; Solanaceae.
CAAGUAUAAUUGCUUACACACUAGCCGCGAUUCGUGUAUGUGGGUUAAGCAGAGAUGGAAUAUUUAGUGUUAAGUCAUAAAUUCCCAUAAGCUGUUGGUGGAAGAGGAAGCCAGUUUCUCCCAUUAACCAGCUUGGAUACUAGAGCGCCUAAAAAGAUUUGCUUUUCUUGGGUAGUAGCAAGGGGUGCCACCCUGGCAGCUGAGAAUCUGAGAACGAGGAGAAUUGCAU